RNAcentral lists this ribosomal RNA (453 nucleotides) under uncultured bacterium. RNAcentral describes it as "bacterial SSU rRNA". It matches the Rfam family "Bacterial small subunit ribosomal RNA", at positions 29 to 524 of the family's 1533-position model. The record is from RNAcentral.
AACGAACGCUGGCGGCAGGCCUCAAACAUGCAAGUCUAGGGGGUGUAGCAAUACAUCACCGGCGGACGGGUGCGUAACGCGUGGGAAUAUACCUAUUGGUUCGGAACAACUGAGGGAAACUUCAGCUAAUACCGGAUACGUCCUUACGGAGAAAGAUUUAUCGCCAAUAGAUUAGCCCGCGUUCGAUUAGCUAGUUGGUGGGGUAACGCCCACCAAGGCGACGAUCGAUAGCUGUUCUGAGAGGAAGAUCAGCCACACUGGGACUGAGACACGGCCCAGACUCCUACGGGAGGCAGCAGUUGGGAAUCUUGGACAAUGGGGGGAAACCCUGAUCCAGCCAUGCCGCGUGAGUGAUGAAGGCCUUCGGGUUGUAAACUCUUUCGCGCACGACGAUAAUGACGGUAGUGCGAGAAGAAGGCUCCGGGCUAACUUCGUGCCAGCAGCCGCGGUAAU